RNAcentral lists this ribosomal RNA (384 nucleotides) under uncultured bacterium. RNAcentral describes it as "bacterial SSU rRNA". It matches the Rfam family "Bacterial small subunit ribosomal RNA", at positions 30 to 416 of the family's 1533-position model. The record is from RNAcentral.
AUUGAACGCUGGCGGAAUGCUUUACACAUGCAAGUCGAACGGCAGCACGGGGCAACCUGGUGGCGAGUGGCGAACGGGUGAGUAAUAUAUCGGAACGUACCCAAUCGUGGGGGAUAACGUAGCGAAAGUUACGCUAAUACCGCAUACGAUCUACGGAUGAAAGCGGGGGAUCGCAAGACCUCGCGCGAAUGGAGCGGCCGAUAUCAGAUUAGGUAGUUGGUGGGGUAAAGGCUCACCAAGCCAACGAUCUGUAGCUGGUCUGAGAGGACGACCAGCCACACUGGAACUGAGACACGGUCCAGACUCCUACGGGAGGCAGCAGUGGGGAAUUUUGGACAAUGGGCGCAAGCCUGAUCCAGCCAUUCCGCGUGCAGGAUGAAGGCC